RNAcentral lists this long non-coding RNA (2031 nucleotides) under Stylophora pistillata. RNAcentral describes it as "uncharacterized LOC111347406". The record is from RNAcentral. Lineage: Eukaryota; Metazoa; Cnidaria; Anthozoa; Scleractinia; Pocilloporidae.
CUGUUGAACGCCACUAGCACCACCAACUAAACCUAACCAUAACAAUUCCAUGAUGGCUCUAUUAAAUGGCAAUAUGGAAGAUAAAGAAAGUGGCUACUUCCACAUGGGCCAAUUUAAUCAGAGUGACUCCACCUUUCAAAGCAUAAUGAUGGAAGAAAUGGAAAAACUGUAAUCAGAGGUGUUUCAGUUAAAAGCUGAAGUGAAGCAGCUAAAAAAGGCUUUUAAGACUGACAAGGAAAAGGAAAAGGAAAAUUCACAAGAAGAAUCUGGUAAAUCAAAAAUUGAUGAUGUCGUUGCCGGAUUGGAGCCAAGAAAAGCCUUGAAUGCCAUUCUCCACCAUCUUUUCACAACCAAGGAGAUAAAAACACAAACCAUUAAGGGAGUGAAAACAUGGAAGUGUGGGAAUGAAACUGAGGUCCAAGCAUUGGAUCCUCAAAAAUUAACAACAAUAUAUGAUAUUAUGAGGAAAAAAUUCAAAGUCAGUGAAGACCAAACCAAGACUUGGAUUCGAAAUACGAAGAGAGGUCUAAAGUAUUAAUCACUCAAGUCAGUUAAGGCCAACUGAUAUCUACAGAAAUAAAUUUUAUGAAAAUCAAAUUUUAAACUGUUCCUGUUAAUUAAUUGAUUUCUGAUAAUUGAUAUCUGAAUCUUAAAAUGUCAAUUUAGUAAUCCUUUGAAUGAUCUUUUCCUAUUUGUUUUGUACUCCAAGUAAUUUUAUGUACACUCUGUAGUAACAACAAAAAGUAUUAAUAAUUAUGUAAAUUUUAAUUGUAUAUAAUAAAUUCAAUUCAAUUCCUAUCAUAUGGUGUUGAUGUUGUUUUGUGCAGUUAAGUGUAAUUUAAUGGAGUUAACCAAUGUGGAGCACAAGUGCUACCCGGCGCGGUCAGUGGUCUGUUAGAUUCGCACAUUCAACUGGAUUCCUUGUGUUCUUGGUCGACUGGGCAUUGUUCAGUUUUGUUAGUGUUUUAGUCAGUGUUUUUCUGAGCGUUACGACUCCUUGGAGGCUGUCUCCCCCCCACUUUCUUUCCACUGUUUUAUCAGUGUGAUGGGUGCCUGUUUUUCUCCUUCUGCGUCAGGGCUCAUGACUAUGUCGUCUAGAUUUACCAGCCAUGCGAGCAGUCUCAAUUUAGGAGCUGGCUGUCAAUAGUGGAAGCUCCUGGAUGUCUCAGGCACCCUUAACCUCCACUUUGCGAGGCAGUCGUUGAAGUGAUUAUAUUCUAUUUUUCCAAAGAAAUUCCUUGGAAUUUCCUAGGAAAUUCCUUAAGGGACCUAAUCAUGGUGAGACAAAAGUGAAUUGUGUAUCCUAAGAAAUUCCUAGGAAUUUCCUAGGAUUUUUUCCUGAUUUUAAUUUUUUUCACUCCUAGGAAUUUCCUAGGAAAUUUCUAGGAAUUCUUUGAAUUCUUCGUCCCAAUUUACUGUGAAAAUUCACACCUUAUUCCUAGGAAUUUCCUAGGAAUAUUCUUAGGAAAUUCCUAUGAAAAUCUUAAGAUUUCCUAGGAAUUUCCUAGGUCUUUUUGCAAGGGUAUGUUCUUAUUAGAGAAACUGUUAAAUAAGUUAGGUAUUCUGGUCUGUAUCUAGAGCCUUUCAAGAAAAUCUUUGUAAAAUAAAUUUGAAAAAUAUUAAAAUAAGAUGUGAGAUAAAUGAUAGUUUGUAUGCACCAUUUCAUGAAAAAAAAAAAAAGGACAAAGAGGCCCUAUAUUAUAACAUGCUUAAGAAUUCCAUUCUUACAAUGGGUACACACAUAUAUAUAUCAAGAGAAAUUAGUGAUUUGGAUCAUAUUUUUCAUUUGAAGUCCUAUAACACCCUUCUCAUGCCUGUUUAAUUUUUUUAUUUUUUUUAGAAGUUAAUGAGACAAACUACAGCCCUGGAGCUGGUCAACUGGGCCAACCAGCAUGAAAAGGGGAGAGCAGCAGAGGUUCUUGUCAUGGAGGCAAUGAGCAGUGAGGAAAGCUGCUACGAGGAUGACAAUGGAAAUACCUCAAAAGUAACAAAAUACUCUGUGCAUCACCUUCAGUGGGAAAGUAGGAGAAU